CUUCUCUCAUCAUCAGCU
This 18-nucleotide microRNA is filed under the name Corchorus capsularis. Its description in RNAcentral is "sRNA CCACVL1_25974". Lineage: Eukaryota; Viridiplantae; Streptophyta; Magnoliopsida; Malvales; Malvaceae. The record is from RNAcentral.